GAUGAACGCUGGCGGCGUGCCUAAUACAUGCAAGUCGAGCGAACGGACGAGAAGCUUGCUUCUCUGAUGUUAGCGGCGGACGUGUGAGUAACACGUGGAUAACCUACCUAUAAGACUGGGAUAACUUCGGGAAACCGUAGCUAAUACCGGAUAAUAUUUUGAACCGCAUGGUUCAAAAGUGAAAGACGUUCUUGCUGUCACUUAUAGAUGGUUCCGCGCUGCAUUAGCUAGUUGGUAAGGUAACGGCUUACCAAGGCAACGAUGCAUAGCCGACGUGAGAGGGGGAGCGGCGAAAGUGGAAGUGAGAAACGGACAAGAGGACUAAGGGAGGAAGCAGAAGGGAAUAGGAGGCAAUGGGGGAAAGCCUGACGGAGCAAGGCCGAGGGAGAGAUGAAGGUCUUCGGAGCGUAAAACUCUGUUAUGAGGGAAGAACAUAUGUGUAAGUAAAUGUGCACAUAUUGACGGUAACUAAUAAGAAAGCAACGGCUAACUACGUG
RNAcentral lists this ribosomal RNA (497 nucleotides) under uncultured bacterium. Its description in RNAcentral is "partial 16S ribosomal RNA". It matches the Rfam family "Bacterial small subunit ribosomal RNA", at positions 28 to 507 of the family's 1533-position model. The record is from RNAcentral.